GCACGUGUUUCACACGAACUGUUUGAAUGACGGAAAAGCGCCAGCUUCAAGUGCUGGCAAACAAAUGUGGGAUCAGUGAGGUGGCGUUAAACUCUUAAAAUGCUCUUCUGAAAUCCCUGCACCUACAGAAAACCUCUCUCUUCUGACUAGGGCUGCAAGUUCUCAAACAGGAAACGGCAAAGUCACUGCAGGUGAACCAGAAGUGACACGACUGGAAAAGUGAGUACCUACACAAGCCGAAGGAGGAGUCAGUUAACGCCCCCUAGCGGCUGGAUUCUCCUCGGUUUGGUGUGUGUCGGCCUGCAGCAUCACCCGGUGCAACAUCGCACACUCAGACAUCACACGGAGACUGCAUGUGCAAAUAUACUGCGGGGCACUGUUUGUCUCAAUGUCCCUUUGUGGAGGAUGAACAUGAACCUGUGCCCUCUAUAAAUCAGAGAUGGAAAAUAUUUGAUAUGACAAAUGCAAAAUAGAUGUAUUUAUUCUGGGGGGUUGAUAUCAUUUGAUGUUUUCUUUAGGACUUUUUUUAUUAUCUAAAAUAGACACUCACAUGACUAUGUAACAUGCCAUAGUGCCUUUUUUUUG
Molecule: long non-coding RNA, 585 nt
Organism: Mugil cephalus (flathead mullet)
Lineage: Eukaryota; Metazoa; Chordata; Actinopteri; Mugiliformes; Mugilidae
Exons: 4
Source: RefSeq, a predicted model, not a curated record